Long non-coding RNA from Equus caballus (horse), 2112 nucleotides. The record is from Ensembl. Lineage: Eukaryota; Metazoa; Chordata; Mammalia; Perissodactyla; Equidae.
GCAACAGAAACUGAAUCUGGUGAACUCAAAACCAGCAAAAAAUACAGGAAGACCAUUGGCAGAUCACAGCCAUGGAAAAGCCAGACAGCCGGGCCCGAGAAGCGUGGAAUUGUCAGCAGAAGGGCUGCAUAGAGCAGCUCUUUGGAAGAUUCUACAGGAUGGCUCAGCUCUAACCUCUCCCCACAGGGGUUCUCAGCUCAAGACACGGAUUUCCAAGGAAGAAUCUGAUGGGCUAUCUUGGAUCCUGUGCUCACCCUGUGAUUAGGGUGGUCAGCGUAUCUGCCUCUGCUUGGGAACAGGGCACUUCUCUUGCCAAAGAAAGGGGGAAGGGACCAUCAAUCAUCUGCCAUAAUGGGAUGCAUUUGGAGGAGCUUCCUGAAUCGAUAUUCUGGCUCUGCCACGUUUCCGCCGAGAGAGCUCAGCACGUCCUUUAGUGUCUCUGAGAUUCCAUUUCUGCGCGUGCAAUGCCGGCCACGCAGGGCUGAUGAGAGAACCAGAGGGGAGCGUUAGUGCUGUUUCUCAUGAUGGCCAGUGUGGUGUCACCCAGGCCACAGCCCUUGUGUUCUCGUCUCUCAGCAGGCCUGACUUUCCCAUCAGCUGGGGAUGACUAACGGAGGUGACCCAGCAGAAAAUCCAACCAAAACAGGGAAGACAGCCUGACCCUCAUUCCACACAGCAGAAGAAAAGAGAGCUGGAAAAACAUGAGAGAGCUGACGGAGAUGAAGAAGAGUGACCUUGAUUUCAAUCAUUAACGAGUUAUGACUCGUUGAGAAAUGUUCUGUAGCGUGAGGCAGAGAUCUGACUGUGUUGUAUUGGUGGCUUGUCUCAGAAUUAUUUGACAACCUGUUCUUUCACCACCGGCGCGCGAUGUCUCCUGUGCCACUUGAUGUCUCAGCCACGCGCAACAGAAGGCCCAAAGCAGGUGGGCGUACACCCUGCUGGAGGGCACAGAGCCCGGGGGAGGGGGCCCGCUCGCACUCUGCCCUCUGGCUGUGGCCUCCAUGGCUGUGCCUCAGCCCACGUGUUGCCUUCCUCCUCUGGAUGCUGCCCCACUGGAGCGAAGAACGGCAGCCGUGGUUCCAGGAGUCGCAACCUCACGUCAAACAUCCAGAGGAAGCGGGUCUGUGGCACAGAAUUUCCCAAACUCCCUGAGCUCCACACCGGGGAGCAGGGACCAUGUGCCCCUGUGAACAGUCACCAUGGCCCUGGCAUGAGAUGGACUGUUGACCAUUCCACCUGCCAAGAAGGAAGGUGUACUUCCGGAGACAAUGGUGGAAUCAACGUCCUCAGAAUCACAUGCAAGGAGGGAGUGGGAGCAUUAAAGGGAAGCUUUGACAAGUGGGACAUAGAGGAGCCUCUGAAGGCGGGUCCAGGACCAUCGCACAGGAGAAUGAAGGACCUGGGUCUUCGGGAGGAGGGAGACGGGCAGGAUGGAACAGGUACCCCCAGCAGCCUGGCACCGUUCUCCAGCCGGGUGGUCCACCUGCCAACCUCCCGUGGGCUGAGGUGGAAUUAGCGCUGUUUUGCAGGGCUCUGGUCUCAGCGAUGGGAGGGUUUGUUUCCGAUUUUCACCAGCGUUCUCAUCCAACCCCUACAUGCUGUGUCCUCCUGCGCACAGCUCUGCCCCAGCCCCCAACACGGCAAGGACAGCGGGCUCCAGGCUGAUUGCCCGGUGCAACUCCACGGAGCAGAAAGCCAUGGCCGAAAGAGUCUCAUGGUUUCACCUGUGUCGCUCAGCCAUGAUGGGCUCAGAACAACCAUCCACCAGAGGAGGGCUGGCAGCUGCCCCUGCCACCACUGAGAGCUGCCUCUGGCCACCAGCACCAAAGGGAGAGAUGAGAAGUCCUUUCUUUGUCUGCUGUGAGUGGCCCUGCUGUCAGCAUUCGGCCCACCGCCUCUUUCUCUUCCCUCGGCCUCAGAGAUGCAGUGUUUCACAGAGGACCCCGGUCCUCCCUGUGUGAUCAACCCCCAGCAGACGCCUGGGAGGCGGAGUCCCAGCACCUGGCAAGGAUGAGAGCGUGUGGGGACCGCCAGCACACAGGGCAGGGCCUGGGCCACCUGAAGCAGCCUGGGCAACUCUGCAGGAGCCUCUCCUGGGCUGGCCGUUUUCCC